RNAcentral lists this small nuclear RNA (22 nucleotides) under Arabidopsis thaliana (thale cress). RNAcentral's name for it is "snRNA_15147". Lineage: Eukaryota; Viridiplantae; Streptophyta; Magnoliopsida; Brassicales; Brassicaceae. The record is from RNAcentral.
CCUCCCGGGAAGUCCUCGUGUU